UUUUGAUCUCGUUCUACAACCACGCGCCGUACGGGCCGUUCAGGCUGCCGUCCGCUCCUCUCGAGCUGAAAUCCAUUUCCUAAAAUUGACGAUUUCCACUCUGGCCAAUACAGUCUGCUUCCACUGAGUGACACUCCUUCACCUUCAGCCACAGAGGGGGCAGUCCCUCGGUUUGUGUUGCCUGUAGCAGCGUAAUCAAACCCCACCGGCUGGCAGACGAAGCUUUCUAUCCACGUGCUGUCGAGUCCGUGGCUCCACACCCACGGGCCCUGAAAGGAAUAAUCUUCUUGUUGAGAAUUUAAGAGAAUGAAUAGAACGACAUAUUCUUACCAAGGCUAAUAGUGAAGCAGCGGUUCUUGGGAUCAGGGUUGUCCAGUGAGUUUCAUCUUUGCAUGGAACUGGACUACAGGGAUCUUGAGAUCUUCAUCUGGUUCACUCAUCUAUACCUGAGAUAAUUCAACAUACAACAGACAUUCCAGGGUGAAAUUCCCAAUCGUAGCUGCACCUGUGGGUGCCUGACAAUAGGCUGCUGAGGUGCAGCAGCAAGAACAGGAAAAGCGAGAGGAACAUCAGCGGGAACAGGGGGACGCUUCUUCAUCCUCGGUCAUGGUGUCCUAACCAGAAUCCUCACUGGUCCAGUCUUCCAGUCCUUAUCCUUAUCCCCCUCCUCCUCCUAACUAUCCACGUAUUUAUCCCCCACUAAAUCACCCUCAUCAUCUUCAGAGAAUGGAAAAAUGCCCUCACCUUGACCUUCAUCCACAAUAACAAACUCAACCAUCCAUCCUCUUCGUCAUCAGAGGAGCUGUAGAUUGGGCGAUUGUUGUCCAGAAUCCUGAUGACUUCUGGGAGGCCAUUUGCUGCAGGACGAUCAAUUAUGUAGUUUCCACGCUGUGAGGAGGCACCUGAGGAGAAAAAGUUAAAGCACCUGAGAACUAGAUUUCACAACUUAAGAAUGUCUCACAAUAUCAACUCUUUGGGACAAUCAAAGUUAGAAAAGUCACUGUAAAACCAUUAUAUAACUAGCACUACUCUACAUGUGUUACAGGCUCCCUGUGACGAACCGACACACAAGCAGCUGCCCGCUUUAAAGGGUUCUGUCACUGUUAUUUUGAACAGAGGAGGACGUGAGAAUGAUUUUAUAUUGCACUCACAUGAGACUUAAUAAGGAUUAUUGUUUACACCACUCGGCCAUUUGUAACUGUUACCUGAUGGUAACAUGUAAAAUU
Long non-coding RNA from Xiphias gladius (swordfish), 1226 nucleotides. RefSeq lists it as uncharacterized. The record is from RefSeq and is a predicted model, not a curated record. The transcript is spliced from 4 exons. Lineage: Eukaryota; Metazoa; Chordata; Actinopteri; Istiophoriformes; Xiphiidae.